AAAUGAGGCCCCUCAUGGGGGGGGGGUCCUAGUAAUCACAUAAUCACCAUUUUUUUGCCAAUAUAAUCACAUAAUCAUUAAAUAUUUGCUUAUCUUUAGUAAUCAAAUAAUCAUAAACUAAAAAUACAGUCCUAGGUAAUCAAAUAAUCAUGAAAUAUUUGGCUUAAUAAUCAAAUAAUCAUUAAAAAAACGGCCAAGUAAUCACAUAAUCAAAAACCCCAUGAGGGCCCUCUGAAAUGG
Molecule: long non-coding RNA, 240 nt
Filed under: Mytilus galloprovincialis (Mediterranean mussel)
Lineage: Eukaryota; Metazoa; Mollusca; Bivalvia; Mytilida; Mytilidae
Source: RNAcentral